RNAcentral lists this ribosomal RNA (253 nucleotides) under uncultured bacterium. Its description in RNAcentral is "partial 16S ribosomal RNA". It matches the Rfam family "Bacterial small subunit ribosomal RNA", at positions 524 to 776 of the family's 1533-position model. The record is from RNAcentral.
UACGUAGGGUGCAAGCGUUAAUCGGAAUUACUGGGCGUAAAGCGUGCACAGGCGGUUUUGUAAGUCUGAUGUGAAAUCCCCGGGCUCAACCUGGGAAUUGCAUUGGAGACUGCAAGGCUAGAAUCUGGCAGAGGGGGGUAGAAUUCCACGUGUAGCAGUGAAAUGCGUAGAGAUGUGGAGGAACACCGAUGGCGAAGGCAGCCCCCUGGGUCAAGAUUGACGCUCAUGCACGAAAGCGUGGGGAGCAAACAGG